Molecule: non-coding RNA, 24 nt
Filed under: Arabidopsis thaliana (thale cress)
Lineage: Eukaryota; Viridiplantae; Streptophyta; Magnoliopsida; Brassicales; Brassicaceae
Source: RNAcentral
UUCCGGGGCCUGUGUUUCGUACCU